AUUUAAAUAGCUUAUAAGUAAGAGCAUGGUAUUGAAGAUACCAAGGAAAUAGUUUUAUUUUUAAAUA
Molecule: transfer RNA, 67 nt
Filed under: Curculionoidea sp. 2 KM-2015
Lineage: Eukaryota; Metazoa; Arthropoda; Insecta; Coleoptera
Also listed under: 1 other name
Description: tRNA-Phe
Source: RNAcentral